Molecule: non-coding RNA, 99 nt
Organism: Acanthosepion pharaonis
Lineage: Eukaryota; Metazoa; Mollusca; Cephalopoda; Sepiida; Sepiidae
Source: the annotation of a GenBank genome assembly
AUUGAAACACCAGUUCUCGUAUGAUCACUGAAGUUAAGCAACAUUGAGUCUGGUUAGUACCUAGAUGGGUAACCCCUUGGAAAUGCCAGUUGUUGUAAU